RNAcentral lists this ribosomal RNA (458 nucleotides) under uncultured bacterium. RNAcentral's name for it is "partial 16S ribosomal RNA". It matches the Rfam family "Bacterial small subunit ribosomal RNA", at positions 338 to 795 of the family's 1533-position model. The record is from RNAcentral.
CCUACGGGUGGCAGCAGUGAGGAAUAUUGGUCAAUGGGCGAGAGCCUGAACCAGCCAAGUCGCGUGAGGGAGUACUGCCCUAUGGGUUGUAAACCUCUUUUGUCGGGGAGCAAAAGCCGGACGUGUCCGGCUGUGAGAGUACCCGAAGAAAAAGCAUCGGCUAACUCCGUGCCAGCAGCCGCGGUAAUACGGAGGAUGCGAGCGUUAUCCGGAUUUAUUGGGUUUAAAGGGUGCGCAGGCGGAUUUUUACGUCAGCGGUAAAAUCGUGGGGCUCAACCCCAUCCAGCCGUUGAAACUGGGGAUCUAGAGUGUGCGAGAGGUAUGCGGAAUGCGUGGUGUAGCGGUGAAAUGCAUAGAUAGCACGCAGAACCCCGAUUGCGAAGGCAGCAUACCGGUGCACAACUGACGCUCAGGCACGAAAGCGUGGGUAUCGAACAGGAUUAGAUACCCCAGUAGUC